This 698-nucleotide ribosomal RNA is filed under the name uncultured bacterium. Its description in RNAcentral is "partial 16S ribosomal RNA". The record is from RNAcentral.
UUACUAACGAUUCCGGCUUCAUGCUCUCGAGUUGCAGAGAACAAUCCGAACUGAGAACGGCUUAUUAAGAUUCGCUAACCCUUGCGGGGUCGCAACUCGUUGUACCGUCCAUUGUAGCACGUGUGUAGCCCAGCUCAUAAGGGGCAUGAUGAUUUGACGUCAUCCCCACCUUCCUCCGGUUUAUCACCGGCAGUCUCGCUAGAGUGCCCAACUGAAUGCUGGCAACUAACAAUAAGGGUUGCGCUCGUUAUGGGACUUAACCCAACAUCUCACGACACGAGCUGACGACAACCAUGCACCACCUGUCUAUCUGUCCCCGAAGGGAAAGCCCUAUCUCUAGGGUUGUCAGAUGAUGUCAAGAGCUGGUAAGGUUCUUCGCGUUGCUUCGAAUUAAACCACAUGCUCCGCUGCUUGUGCGGGUCCCCGUCAAUUCCUUUGAGUUUCAUACUUGCGUACGUACUCCCCAGGCGGAGUGCUUAAUGCGUUAGCUCCGGCACCGAGGUUUGACCCCCGACACCUAGCACUCAUCGUUUACGGCAUGGGACUACCAGGGUAUCUAAUCCUGUUUGCUCCCCAUGCUUUCGUUCCUCAGCGUCAGAAAAAGUCCAGAAAGUCGCCUUCCCCACUGGUAUUCCUCCUAAUAUCUACGCAUUUCACCGCUACACUAGGAAUUCCACUUUCCUCUCCUUACUCAAGUC